This 818-nucleotide long non-coding RNA is filed under the name Olea europaea subsp. europaea. The record is from RNAcentral. Lineage: Eukaryota; Viridiplantae; Streptophyta; Magnoliopsida; Lamiales; Oleaceae.
CUCCUAUUUAUACUAAACCUAAAAACUAGGUAAAAAUCGUGCAAAAGUCGAUCAUAAUCCCCAAAAUAUGGAAAAGAUAAAAAAACUAACAAAAGAUGAAAAAUUGCCAAAAUUAGAAAAUUCGCCAAAUAUUUUGAACCAUGCGGCCGCAUGCUGUAUUUUCAUGCGGUCGCAUGGUGUUUUAGCUGUGCGGUCACACAUGCUUGUUUUCAGCCUCCGAUUUCGUCGCUUGAUAACAAAUUGAUCCAAGUUGAUUCGGCCUUCGGCUCGAACAUGAAAGUUGCUACAUUUUGAGUCCCGAACAUGGUUCCAUCAAUGGUUUCUUGAACGAGCAAUCUCAUCGCUUGUUUCACUUGCUUUGCCCUUGAUCGCGUUAUUGGCCCGCCAUCAACUAUCAAUGGAUCUCGUCUCGCACUCACCUUCGUCGGGCUCGACUCUUGGAUCAUAUCAUCCCCUCCCCCUUCAAAAGGAUUCAUCCUUGAAUCUAAACCUGCAUCAAACAGAGAAAGAUCAAAUACAUUAAAAGUAGCCGAAACAUUAUACUCACCUGGAAGGUCCAACUUGUAAGCAUUGUCGUUUAUCUUUUCAAUCACUUGAAAUGAACCAUCACCCCUCGGUUGCAACUUGGAUUUCCUUUGCUUCGAAAACCGCUCCUUCCUAAGGUGCACCCAAACCCAAUCUCCUGGCUCGAAUGUCACACGCUUCCUACCGUUGUUUGCUUGCGACGCAACCAACUUACUUUUGUUUUCAAUUUGCGCUUUUACCUUUUCAUGGAGUGACUUAACCAAUUCCGCCUUCUUUUUGCUAUCUAAACUACC